UACGAAGGGGGCUAGCGUUGCUCGGAAUCACUGGGCGUAAAGGGUGCGUAGGCGGUUGUUUAAGUCAGGGGUGAAAUCCUGGAGCUCAACUCCAGAACUGCCUUUGAUACUGAAGAUCUUGAGUCCGGGAGAGGUGAGUGGAACUGCGAGUGUAGAGGUGAAAUUCGUAGAUAUUCGCAAGAACACCAGUGGCGAAGGCGGCUCACUGGCCCGGUACUGACGCUGAGGCACGAAAGCGUGGGGAGCAAACAGG
RNAcentral lists this ribosomal RNA (253 nucleotides) under uncultured bacterium. RNAcentral's name for it is "partial 16S ribosomal RNA". It matches the Rfam family "Bacterial small subunit ribosomal RNA", at positions 524 to 776 of the family's 1533-position model. The record is from RNAcentral.